CAUUUAUAUUUCAAUUACGU
This 20-nucleotide microRNA is filed under the name Tribolium castaneum (red flour beetle). RNAcentral's name for it is "tca-miR-3901-3p". The record is from miRBase by way of RNAcentral. Lineage: Eukaryota; Metazoa; Arthropoda; Insecta; Coleoptera; Tenebrionidae.